This 70-nucleotide transfer RNA is filed under the name Cricetulus griseus (Chinese hamster). It matches the Rfam family "tRNA". Rfam says of the family: Transfer RNA (tRNA) molecules are approximately 80 nucleotides in length. Their secondary structure includes four short double-helical elements and three loops (D, anti-codon, and T loops). The record is from Rfam by way of RNAcentral. Lineage: Eukaryota; Metazoa; Chordata; Mammalia; Rodentia; Cricetidae.
GGGAGAUGGCUCAGAGGUUAAGAGCACUGGCUGUUCUUCCAGAGGACCUGGGUUCGGUUCCCAGCACCCA